Long non-coding RNA from Passer montanus (Eurasian tree sparrow), 1168 nucleotides. RefSeq lists it as uncharacterized. Lineage: Eukaryota; Metazoa; Chordata; Aves; Passeriformes; Passeridae. The transcript is spliced from 3 exons. The record is from RefSeq and is a predicted model, not a curated record.
ACUGAAGAGAAGGGCUCGGCCACCGCUCCCUCCUCUUCCAACAAAAUGCCAGUGCCUGAAAGAAGCUGUUCUUCCCAAGGCAUCAGACUUUGCAACCCUGAAAGCCCCACUGACAGCAACUUCUGCUGCUUUGUUUUAUUUUCCUUUCCUCCUUCAGGUGGAAAUGCUGAGAGGGAAUUGUUGCCAGAACUCGAUUUCUGCAUCGCUAUUGUAGAAAUGUCUGGCAGCGGGGAAGAGGCGUUGUUUUGCUGCACAAGGGGGGCAAGUGGGACCUGCAGAUGAUUUGAGAAAGGCUUCAAACCCAACCCAGCCAGAUCCCAGGAGAAAUCCUACUGUGAGACCUACUUGGAUGGGAGAAAUGAGCUGGAAAAUCAACUUGGAACAUCUCAAAGCAAGCCAGUAAGGUUUGGUGGAGAUGAACCACACCUUGAGCAGGCAGAUCUGGAGAGCAGACACUGAUUAACACUCACCAGCAGUCUGGCCUGACUCCCUGGGAAGAUGAUGCUAUUUUUGUCUGCCCUUUUCAGAGCCACAUUCACCACUGAAACCCUGCCACAUGCUGAAUUAUGGGCUGGAUGGAUGAUUCCAAGGUGGAGCAGAUGUUUAUCUCAUUUGCGUCCACACUUUUUUAAACGUUUCACGUGUAGGAAAAUGAUGAAAGCAAGAAGAUUAAAACAUGGAUGCCCAAAGUCUAAUUAACAUCCCCCUGUGCUUUCAGAUGUCCAUACCCUGCAGCUGUGAGCUUGGUCCAUGAUGCCAGCCCUGUGGCAAAGGGAUAUUAGCACCUCAUGGCCACUUGGAAGUUGGUUACUCCUUGGCUCAAAGGCUCCUGCAUCUUGGAACAUCUGGGCGGGAGAGGUUCGUGAAGUAAAUCAAAACAAGCUACAGGAAAUUCUAGACAUGGUAAAGGUUCCUUGGCUGAAUGAUUGAUUCACAGUUUGCAAGAAGUGUUGUGCUGGUUUUGGCUGGGGUAGAGUUAAUUUUAUUCAUGGUAGCUGUGUGGAGCUGUGUUUUUGAUUUCUGCUGAAGACAGAAGAUGGAAUAUUUGGAGUGAUUGUUGCUUGUCAUCCCAAGUCACUGUUACACAUAAUGAAGCCCUUUUCCCCUGGGGAUUCCUGAAAAAUUCCUGCACAUAGGAAUGAAUUCCUUGGUUUGGUUUGCUUGCACA